Long non-coding RNA from Xiphias gladius (swordfish), 2040 nucleotides. RefSeq lists it as uncharacterized. The transcript has 5 exons. Lineage: Eukaryota; Metazoa; Chordata; Actinopteri; Istiophoriformes; Xiphiidae. The record is from RefSeq and is a predicted model, not a curated record.
AGACAAAACAGGGUUCCAAAAAAGUUAAGGUCCUUACUAGAAAAAUAGUUCGGUACACAGGCAUGCAAUCAGGAACAGGCCGACACAUUCUUAAGACGUCACAUGAGAAAACUAACACCAGGAAGGGGCUGGAUCGCUUGUCACAGAGAAGACAGAUUGGCAAAGAGGGAGGGCAGCACAGAGACUAAACACACUACAAGAGGGGAGACAAUGAGACACAGGUGCAACAAAUCAGGGGCAGGCAAGACAAUCGCGGUGGUAGGAAACACACAAGGGCAGGAAGUGGGGAUCUGAAACAAGAGGAAAAAGAGCGACUGCUUCGGCCAUCUCUUGACUCCAGCGUUAACACUAAAGCUUUGAGCUUUGACAUUUUGAUUGGAGAGCUGAGGAAUGACACAGCUUUUCUGGCCAGAUAAGUUUUGGAUUGAGGAAGGCUCUGGAUACUACUACACGUGACCUGGCAGUGAACGACAAGACCAUUUUUUCAGAUCUGUUUGCUUGCAUGACCGAUUAACAGCCCCUCUACGCCUUGUUCAGCUGCCUCAGGCCCGUGACGUACUCAGGCCGUACAGGCCCUGGAGAGCACCUCAGGAAAGAGUGUGAGAAACACCAAGAGAGAGGCGCUCAGCUCUGUUGCUGUGUGUCGGGCAUAAACACGUGACUGCUCUCUAUGUUUCUAAUUCUACCUACUAAGAGACACUAUGCCCAUGAGCUUGGCUGUGACUGGGAAACAUGGUUUGUUCAUGAGUUCAAAGGACAGAAACCAUGGGAAAUGGAUAAGCCUCAUUGUCCAUCUACACAUGUCUUAACUGACCCUAUAACACAGCUGCGACUUCACACCUGGAAAGAGGACUACACAAAACAUGAGGCUAAACCCAAGCACACAAUUCACAUGUCUAGGAGAAGGAAACAAGCGCACAGAAGAAAACAGAACAUUACAACAAUCAAGUCUGCGUGACAUAAAGGCAUGAAUUAGGGUCUCUGCAGCCGACAUGGACAGAAAAGACAGAAUUUUAGAUAUGUAGGUCUUAAUGUCUUUAAUGUGCUGAUCAAAUGAGAGGGUGGGAUCAAAUGUAACACCGAGCUUCUUGGCUGUAAGAAAUCACACAGUGGUCGAGAGUAAGUGUUACUUGAUCAAACUGAUCAAGUUUAAAAAAUCAUGACCCGUAAAGGGCAAGUAGCUACAGGUAAGAGACAGCUUUUCAGUAUGUAUGGCAUCAGUGUUAAAAAGAAAUCUACGAUUGCGUUUAUUGUUACUGAUUAACCAAGAGAAACAUGCUGCUCUUGCAGCAGACAGAGCACACACUUCUGCCAGAGGAGGUAGGAGGCUUCCAGUUUGGAUUUUCACCAUUUGAGCUCCAGUCUCCUGCAGGCCUGCCUAAGAGCACGUGUUUCUUCUGGGAACCAGGGUGUAGACCUCUUUGACCAUCUAGUUUUGGUUUUUGGUCUCUAGUUAAAAUCUCCAACGGUUUAUUUUUUCAAUGUUUUAAUUUCAGAAACACUGAAACAUUGAAUUGUGUACAUUUAAAGAACAGCUGAAAAAAAAUCUUCUUGGACUGACGUCGUAAACAUGGGACGAUUGAGUCUCUCCCACAGCUUCUGUUUGAUUUGGCGUCCGAGCUGUAAACUGUAGGGACGAAUCCGGCCAUUCUUGUACCUACGAGGAGUGGAAGAAAGAGAAAUUACAGAAUAAGAAUACACGUGGUUAAAAAGCUUAAAUGUUUCAGAAAGAUGAGUGAUAGCGGUUUCUGUGAUUUGACAAAUGUGACAGUGAUGUGAUGGACGGAGUCGUGAUUUUUGACACAAACAUACCUCAGCAUAUCAUCUACCACUUCGUGGUAGAUUUUCUGGUACUCUUCCACUGAGCGGUUGUGUAUUUUCACAGGACCGUCGUGGUCUACAGCAGCAAAGCUUGGCUGGUUAUUAGCACUGGAGGGCCGGGGGCCGGGGGGCAGAGUCGAGACUUCUGGCAGGUCAUCAGGUGAAAUGGCGGAUGGAGGCCUCUGGUCCACAUCCACCUUCCCUUCAGGUUCAGCAGAA